Molecule: transfer RNA, 78 nt
Filed under: gut metagenome
Description: tRNA-Asp
Rfam family: tRNA
About the family: Transfer RNA (tRNA) molecules are approximately 80 nucleotides in length. Their secondary structure includes four short double-helical elements and three loops (D, anti-codon, and T loops). Further hydrogen bonds mediate the characteristic L-shaped molecular structure. tRNAs have two regions of fundamental functional importance: the anti-codon, which is responsible for specific mRNA codon recognition, and the 3' end, to which the tRNAs corresponding amino acid is attached (by aminoacyl-tRNA synthetases). tRNAs cope with the degeneracy of the genetic code in two manners: having more than one tRNA (with a specific anti-codon) for a particular amino acid; and 'wobble' base-pairing, i.e. permitting non-standard base-pairing at the 3rd anti-codon position.
Source: RNAcentral
GGUCUUGUGGUAGUAGUGGUUUAACAUGUCUCCCUGUCACGGAGAAGAUCGCGGGUUCGAUCCCCGUCAAGACCGCCA